Molecule: ribosomal RNA, 821 nt
Filed under: Lachnospiraceae bacterium
Lineage: Bacteria; Bacillati; Bacillota; Clostridia; Lachnospirales; Lachnospiraceae
Description: bacterial SSU rRNA
Rfam family: Bacterial small subunit ribosomal RNA
Source: RNAcentral
UGAGAGGUUGAUCGGCCACAUUGGGACUGAGACACGGCCCAAACUCCUACGGGAGGCAGCAGUAGGGAAUCUUCCACAAUGGGCGAAAGCCUGAUGGAGCAACGCCGCGUGGGUGAAGAAGGUCUUCGGAUCGUAAAACCCUGUUGUUAGAGAAGAAAGUGCGUGAGAGUAACUGUUCACGUUUCGACGGUAUCUAACCAGAAAGCCACGGCUAACUACGUGCCAGCAGCCGCGGUAAUACGUAGGUGGCAAGCGUUAUCCGGAUUUAUUGGGCGUAAAGGGAACGCAGGCGGUCUUUUAAGUCUGAUGUGAAAGCCUUCGGCUUAACCGGAGUAGUGCAUUGGAAACUGGGAGACUUGAGUGCAGAAGAGGAGAGUGGAACUCCAUGUGUAGCGGUGAAAUGCGUAGAUAUAUGGAAGAACACCAGUGGCGAAAGCGGCUCUCUGGUCUGUAACUGACGCUGAGGUUCGAAAGCGUGGGUAGCAAACAGGAUUAGAUACCCUGGUAGUCCACGCCGUAAACGAUGAAUGCUAAGUGUUGGAGGGUUUCCGCCCUUCAGUGCUGCAGCUAACGCAAUAAGCAUUCCGCCUGGGGAGUACGACCGCAAGGUUGAAACUCAAAGGAAUUGACGGGGGCCCGCACAAGCGGUGGAGCAUGUGGUUUAAUUCGAAGCAACGCGAAGAACCUUACCAGGUCUUGACAUCUUUUGACAAUCCUAGAGAUAGGACUUUCCCUUCGGGGACAAAAUGACAGGUGGUGCAUGGUUGUCGUCAGCUCGUGUCGUGAGAUGUUGGGUUAAGUCCCGCAACGAGCGCAACCCU